AUUGAACGCUGGCGGCAUGCCUUACACAUGCAAGUCGAACGGCAGCACGGGAGCAAUCCUGGUGGCGAGUGGCGAACGGGUGAGUAAUAUAUCGGAACGUGCCCGGUCGUGGGGGAUAACGUAGCGAAAGCUACGCUAAUACCGCAUACGAUCUACGGAUGAAAGCGGGGGAUCGCAAGACCUCGCGCGAUUGGAGCGGCCGAUAUCAGAUUAGGUAGUUGGUGAGGUAAAGGCUCACCAAGCCGACGAUCUGUAGCUGGUCUGAGAGGACGACCAGCCACACUGGGACUGAGACACGGCCCAGACUCCUACGGGAGGCAGCAGUGGGGAAUUUUGGGACAAUGGGCGCAAGCCUGAUCCAGCAAUGCCGCGUGCAGGAUGAAGGCCUCGGUUGUAAC
Molecule: ribosomal RNA, 398 nt
Filed under: uncultured bacterium
Lineage: Bacteria
Description: bacterial SSU rRNA
Rfam family: Bacterial small subunit ribosomal RNA
Source: RNAcentral